CUCGUGCUGCAAAUAAAUAACGAGAGUUGAGUGGUAGGUAACAGACUCUGCUGAAUUUGUCAUCUGCAAAAUGUUAUGUACUAGUUUAGAGAGUAUGUUAGUUUCGGUAGACAAAUAUAUUGAGUAUUGUUUUAGCGACGGUAAAAGUAGUGACGUAGUAAGACAGACGAAUGACGUAGUAGAUUAGGCGAAGAAGAGCAACAUGGCGAUAGUAUAGAACAGUGAUGCUCAACCUAAUUCGACCUGCGGGCCAUUUUAACUUUCGACACGCGCGUCCCGGGCCACAUCAACAGAAAGCAGGAUUGGAACCCUGGACCCCCAGUUUGGAAGCCAAGCGCCUUACAGCACAGCCACCGCGCCUCUGAGUUAAUAUAAGCUUUGUAAAAACUACCCCAAGAGUUCAAAGAGGCCUUUUAUUCAUCUCUACAAGAAGAAGGGAAAUAGAUUUGCGAUAACCACCGUGGCAUAUCUCUCCAUUGCUUACAAAACUCUGGCAAGGAUGCUGCUAUAUAAACCAGCAAGAACAAAUAAAUUAAAUCUCUAUACUUCAUUCCUGGAUUUGACCAAAGCAUUUGAUAACGUCAGCCAUGUAUGUCUUUUGCAUAUCCAGUCCGAAUUAGGCUGCCCAGAUCAAUGCAUAUCAAUGGUACGCCAAUGAAAAAAUGCAAACAAGAAUCCUGCCUCAAAUGGCGCGAAGCAGGAAUGCCAGGUGGCCAUAAAAUGAUGUUGAUAUUUCACAGACGAAGUGACUUUUCGCAGUAGUUAUCGUCAGCGCAAAAUACAAGCGCAUAACUCCUUGCAUGUCCACUGAUCAGUAAAAACACUUAAUUCAACGUUAUGACCCACAGAUUCUGAGAACCUCUGAGUAACAGGUUGCUUCUGAAAAACUUUGAAUAUACAAAGACAAGUAAACGAAGAAGUUAAUUAAAAACUUGUCAGUCUGCUGCUAUUUAUUUAUCAAUAAAUAUAAAUUAUAUAUCAACUCUGUCUAUCUGUGUGUCUGUCUGGCCAAAGUUUUCUACACGUUAUUUCUCCUACAUUCUCGGAUCAAGCUGAAAUUCGGCACAAUUAUUUCUUUUACCUGCCAACAAAAAAAAAUAAACCAAUUAGUUAAUUAACUAUUGGUAAAUAAUUAUUUCGAACAAG
Molecule: long non-coding RNA, 1146 nt
Organism: Biomphalaria glabrata
Lineage: Eukaryota; Metazoa; Mollusca; Gastropoda; Planorbidae
Exons: 2
Source: RefSeq, a predicted model, not a curated record